CCAUGCCUUUGCUCCAACACCUGGUUCCCACUAUAGGGCCAACCCAAAUCAAACUGUGCUGGCACAGAUAUUUAAUUUUCACAUUGUCCUUUCUAGCAUGGUUCUAACAGCUAUGGUGGAUGCAUAACCAGACCAGGCCAGUACAACACAGCAUCGUUUAGCUCUGUAGUAUGAAAGGGUAUUGAGAAACCUCUUAGUGAGUCUUACCCAUGGUUCUCUCCUUGGUUCUGCAUAUCCUUGUUUACAUGUCGUCCCACUGGGCACAGACGUCAAUUCAGCAUCUAUUACACGUUGGUUCAACGUAAUUUCAUUGAAAUGACGUGGAAACAACAUUGAUUCAACCAGUGUGGGCCCAGUGGGAUGUUGUCACUGUUACAGUUAUAGAGAUGAUAGGUUCAUCGUCCUUAGGAUACAAUUUACCCAUUCAUGUGCCAUAACGUGUAAGUGACAUAGAUGUCUUCUCUUAAUUUUGCAUAGAGUUGUCACUCAAGACAAAAUGAAGUACUGUACCCUAGGGAACAGUGGAGGCUGCUGAGGGGAGGACGGCUCAUAACGGAUGGAACGGAGCAAAUGGAAUGGCUUAAACACAUGGAAAACAUUUGAUACCAUUCCACCAAUUCCGCUACAGCCAUUACCACAAUUCCGACCCCCUUCAUCCAUUACCACGAGCCCUUCCUCCCCAAUUAAGGUGCCACCAACCUCCUGUGCUAAGGAAAUGUGAUUGUGUUGUGGGUUGUCCACCCUUCAACUGUAGCCCCUGUUGCCUUCCACCAGAGGACACUAUUUUUCUGUCAUGUCUCCUCUCCUCUCCACUCACUGUCCAAUUGCUGUCCAUUGCUCACUCGUUUUAAUGGUCGCCACUAGUUACCACAGCCACAAAGUCAGAAAACCCGCAUAUUUCUAAAAUGUAUCUUCUUAAAAUGUGAUUUCAACCCGAACCUUAACCACCCUGCUAAACGUAUGCCUAACCCUAACCUUAAGCACAUUUUUGUUUUCAUACAUUUUUACGAUAGCCAAUUUUGACUUUUUGGCUGUGGUAACUAGUGGAAACCAUUUUUUUUCCGUUCCCUCUUCAAAUUAAUGACGUGGUGCUUAACCUUGGUAAACCUUUUGUUUUACAUUAAACUAUAUCUCUACAGCU
This 1141-nucleotide long non-coding RNA is filed under the name Salmo salar (Atlantic salmon). RNAcentral describes it as "lncRNA (ENSSSAG00000097776.1)". Lineage: Eukaryota; Metazoa; Chordata; Actinopteri; Salmoniformes; Salmonidae. The record is from RNAcentral.